Molecule: ribosomal RNA, 549 nt
Filed under: uncultured bacterium
Lineage: Bacteria
Description: bacterial SSU rRNA
Rfam family: Bacterial small subunit ribosomal RNA
Source: RNAcentral
UGGGGAAUCUUCCGCUUUGGACGAUAGUCGGACGUCGCAGCGCCGCGUGAAAGAUGAUUUCUUCGGGUUGCUAGCUCUGUUAAGCGUCCAUAAUGUCUCUUGUGCGAAUAGUGCGAGUUUUUGACAGACACCGGAAUCCAAAGCGACGGCGCUUUGCGUGCCUAAUUCGCGACAAAUACGUGCCACGGACAGCGUUGUGCGGAAUUAUGGGCGGUAAAGCGCGCGCAGUUUCUNUUCCGAGACUGUCUUUCAGUUCGGAUUCGCCCCCGUGAUGUCAUGGAAACUGCCAGAGCUUAGCAUCGGAAAGGAAAGCGUAAUUCAUAGNNUGGGGGGNAAAUGCACUUAUAUUAAUUGGAACAGAUUCGGCGAAGGUGACUUUCUGGACGAGAACUGAUGCUGAGGCGCGAAAGCCAGUUCAGCGAAUGGUAUUACAUAUUACGAUUGUCUUGCCCGNCNUUUACAANUACUAGGUGUAGGAGGUAUCGACCCCUUCUGUGCCGGAGUUAAACGCAAUAAGUACCCCGCCUGGGGAGUACGACCGCAAGGUUG